Molecule: long non-coding RNA, 769 nt
Filed under: Homo sapiens (human)
Lineage: Eukaryota; Metazoa; Chordata; Mammalia; Primates; Hominidae
Description: HSALNT0012803
Source: RNAcentral
CUUCUGCAGAAAAUCCAAUUACCUGACAGAGGAAAAGAGCUCCUUCUCUGGAAAUCCAUGAGGCUGGGUGCUCUUCACACUAACUGAUCCUGUUAGGGCCCAGCUGCUGGCUGCACCGGAAGUCAGCUUGGCACAGCAGAAGGAACAGAUUCACUUGGGACUGGAAUCUGGUUCUGCCACUUGCCGGCUCUGUGACUUUAGGCAAGCGACUUCACAUUCCUCAGCCAAUUUCAUCCGUGAAAAGCUUAAAAUAGCUAGAGUGGUUGGUUUCCUGCACUGACCCUGACUGACAAAUGAGUUUGAGAGCACAGGCCAAAGGGAACAGUGUCAGAGACUCAACACGAUAAAUACAUCAUCCAGGAAGAGAAACUAGAGCUGCUCAUUGCUAAAACCAGAAGAGCAAGAUGUUGGAGAAUUAAUAUCUGCUAGAGAAAUAUGCAUCUCAGCCUGGACUAAUUGGUGCCUGGAACAUGAUGGUAGGUCUCCUACUCACAAAUUGGAUGGUGAUGGAAAGGCCAUCCUGAUGAGCCUUCCAAAAGUUUUGUCAGAAGACAGAGUGAUGUUGGAUAACACUACUGAGCCACAACUUCCAUCCACGCAAGACUUAAUAUAUUUCCUGGGACAAAAGUACCUAGGAAACCAAAAGCCUUUCACCUUAUCCCUUGAAGCUAAUUUCCCUUUGGCUGACACUGUGCAGCAAAGUGUAUUAAUAUCCAUGAUGGGUGAUCAGCCUUCAAUAAAUAAUGCUGGUUGUUCUAAUGUACCUGGC